GGUUUGACAUGCCUGGCCCGCCACGGUUACGUGUGUGAGUGCCGGCGCGUGUCUGCCAUCCUUCUGGAAAACGUGUCUACCCUUCACUGGGCCGGAUACGCGAUCCAGAUCAUUUACUUUGAAAAAAUUAGAGUGUUUAAAGCAGGCUUUUUGCUAUGAAUACAUUAGCAUGGAAUAAUAAUUUAGGACUUUGGCCCUAUUUUGUUGGUUUCUAGGACUGAAGUA
This 225-nucleotide ribosomal RNA is filed under the name uncultured fungus. RNAcentral describes it as "partial small subunit ribosomal RNA". The stretch from base 103 to 225 matches the Rfam family "Eukaryotic small subunit ribosomal RNA", at positions 741 to 864 of the family's 1831-position model. The record is from RNAcentral. Lineage: Eukaryota; Fungi.